GUGUAAACAAAUAAUAGCUCGUAGUGCCAAUAAUGUUGUCCAUGCCAUUUGUCUUUAUUUUCUAAAUGAAAAUAGUAAACUCAAAUUUACAAAAUACAAUUGGUUUCUGCAAUGUUGAAAAUUCAAACCUUUUUAUUCAAUUUCAUCUUAUUUAAGAAGAAAUAGGGAAUUACUUAAGAAAGUGCCAAUAUAUUUGGCCGCAACUGUAUAUCUUCACAUGUUUAUGUUUUCAUUAACAUUUAAUUUGUGGGGAUUUGCCGAUACAGACCUGAAAUUAAAUGACAGGAUCAUGUAGGUGUCUUUUACUGCAUUGGGUUCAUGAGUUGUGAAGCAAGGCUUCGCCUUAGUGGAUUCCUGGAGUAACUGCUCCUUCACCUGAACACUUGGAGAAUGUAACGGCUGUCUGUGGAAGUAGACCAAGGUGCAGCAGAGGAUGUGUUCAUCAUUAGAAUUUUAUUAGAACAACGUGAACACUAUACAAAAAACAAGAAAACUGACAGCCAAAACAGUCCUGUCAGGUGCAAACACUAACAGAAACAAUUACCCACAAAACCCAAAGGAAAAACAUGCUCCUUAUGUGUGACUCCCAAUCAGCAACAACAAGCUUCAGCUGUGCCUGAUUGGGAGCCACACACGGUCCAAAACAAAGAAAUACAAAAACAUAGAAAAAGGAACAUAGAACGCCCACCCAAUGUAACACCCUGGCCUAACCAAAAUAAAGAACAAAAACCCCUUAGCCAGACCAGUCAAUUUACACUUUGUUAGCUACUGUACAUCUAAUCAACAAAUCAUACAAACAUAGCUAAUUGCCUUCAAUAGGAUAUACAUAAUAAUUAAUACUCUAAGCAUUACAUUGAAUAAAUGUAUAAUUAGUGUGUGCGUUUUGAAAUAAAUAUUGAAUCAGUAGCCGACGAAUGAGCAAUUAAAGAAGCGCCACUCAUAGUCUUUGUAAAUGAAACUAAACUAGUUUUGAUAGUCUGUGGAACACAAGCCUACAAAAUACAAUACCACCACAGAGCUCCUGAGUGGCGCAGCGGUCUAAGGCAUUGCAUCGCAGUGCUAGAGGCGUCACUACAGACCCUGGUUUGAUUCCAGGGUCUGUAGUGCCAUUUAUUUUGGGUUAUAAUCAUAUACAAAGUAUGCUGAAUAAUGUUCAUACCAUUGUCACCAAACAACUGUAUUACACUCAAAAUAAUUAGAAUUCAGAUGUUAAUCUGGGUGAUGACACUAGCUUGCUAAAUUAGCUAACCAAACCCAUUAUGAUGGUUAGCUAGCAUGGUAGCUAUCUCUACUGCUACAUCUGUUGAGUGGUGUGGGGGCUGUGCUUUGGCAAAGUGGGUGGGUUUAUAUCCUGCCUGGUUGGCCCUGUCUGGGAGUAUCAUCGGACGGGGCCACAGUGUCCCCCCAACAAAUCAAAUACAUUUUAUAUUUGAGAUUCUUCAAAAUAGCCACCCUUUGUCUUGAUAACAGCUUUGCACACUCUUGGCAUUCUCUCAACCAGCGUCAUGAGGUAGUCACCUGGAAUGCAUUUCAAUUAACAGGUGUGCCUUGUUAAAAGUUAAUUUGUGGAAUUUCUUUCCUUCUUAAUGUGUUUGAGCCAAUCAGUUGUGUUGUGACAAGAUAGGGGUGGUAUACAGAAGAUAGCCCUAUUUGGUAAAAGACCAAGUCCAUAUUAUGGCAAGAACAUUUCAAAUAAGCAAAAAGAGACGCCAGUCCAUCAUUAUUUUAAGAUAUGAUGGUCAGUCAAUCUGGAAAAUGUCAAGAACUUUGAAAGUUUCUUCAAGUUCAGUCGCAAAAACCAUCAAGCGCUAUGAUGAAACUGGCUGUCAUGACGAGCGCCAGAGGAAAGGAAGUCCCAGAGUUACUUCUACUGCAGAGGAUACGCUUAUUAGAGUUACCAGCCUCAUAAAUUGCAGCCCAAAUAAAUGCUUCACAGAGUUCAAGUAACAGACACAUCUAAAAGUCAACAUUUCAGAGGAGACUGUGUGAAUCAGGCCUUCAUGGUAAAUUGCCGCAAAGAAACCACUAAUAAAGGACACUAAUAAUAAGAAGAGACUUGCUUGGGCCAAGAAACCCGAGCAAUGGACAUUAGACGGGUGGAAAACUGUCCUUUGGUCUGAUGAGUCCAAAUUUUAGAUUUUUGGUUCCAACCGCCGUGUCUUUGUGAGAUGCAGAGUAGGUGAAUGGAUGAUCUCCGCAUGUGUGGUUCCCACAGUGAAGCAUGGAGGAGGAGGUGUGUGGUGUGGGGGUGCUUUGCUGGUGACAGUGUCAGUGUUUUAUUUAGAAUUCAAGGCACACUUAACCAGCAUGGCUACCACAGCAUUCUGCAGUGAUACGCCAUCCCAUCUGGUUUGAGCUUAGUGGGACUAUUAUUUGUUUUUCAACAGGACAAUGACCCAACUCACCUCCAGGCUGUGUAAGGGAUAUUUGACCAAGAAGGAGAGUGAUGGAGUGCUGCAUCAGUUGACCUGGCCUCCACAAUCACCCGACCUCAAUCCAGUUGAGAUGGUUUGGGAUGAGUUGAACUGCAGAGUGAAGGAAAAGCGGCCAACAAGUGCUAAGCACAUGUGGGAACUCCUUCAAGACUGUUGGAAAAGUAUUCCGGGUGAAGCUGGUUGAAAGAAUGUCAAGAGUGUGCAAACCUGUCAUCAAGGCA
This 2656-nucleotide long non-coding RNA is filed under the name Salmo salar (Atlantic salmon). Its description in RNAcentral is "lncRNA (ENSSSAG00000086093.1, ENSSSAG00000104258.1)". Lineage: Eukaryota; Metazoa; Chordata; Actinopteri; Salmoniformes; Salmonidae. The record is from RNAcentral.